RNAcentral lists this ribosomal RNA (501 nucleotides) under uncultured bacterium. Its description in RNAcentral is "partial 16S ribosomal RNA". It matches the Rfam family "Bacterial small subunit ribosomal RNA", at positions 29 to 523 of the family's 1533-position model. The record is from RNAcentral.
AUUGAACGCUGGCGGCAUGCCUUACACAUGCAAGUCGAACGGCAGCACGGGUGCUUGCACCUGGUGGCGAGUGGCGAACGGGUGAGUAAUACAUCGGAACGUACCUUAUCGUGGGGGAUAACGCAGCGAAAGCUGUGCUAAUACCGCAUACGCCCUGAGGGGGAAAGCGGGGGAUCGAAAGACCUCGCGCGAUUAGAGCGGCCGAUGCCUGAUUAGCUUGUUGGUGGGGUAAAAGCCCACCAAGGCGACGAUCAGUAGCUGGUCUGAGAGGACGAUCUGCCACACUGGGACUGAGACACGGCCCAGACUCCUACGGGAGGCAGCAGUGGGGAAUUCUGGACAAUGGGGGCAACCCUGAUCCAGCAAUGCCGCGUGAGUGAAGAAGGCCUUCGGGUUGUAAAGCUCUUUUGUCAGGGAAGAAACACCGGCUCUAACACAGUCCGGGAAUGACGGUACCUGAAGAAUAAGCACCGGCUAACUACGUGCCAGCAGCCGCGGUAA